Molecule: non-coding RNA, 30 nt
Filed under: Homo sapiens (human)
Lineage: Eukaryota; Metazoa; Chordata; Mammalia; Primates; Hominidae
Source: RNAcentral
UCCAGGGAAUGACAAAAGCUUCUAGCCACA